RNAcentral lists this ribosomal RNA (469 nucleotides) under uncultured bacterium. Its description in RNAcentral is "partial 16S ribosomal RNA". It matches the Rfam family "Bacterial small subunit ribosomal RNA", at positions 29 to 507 of the family's 1533-position model. The record is from RNAcentral.
UACUAACUCUGGCGGCGUGCUUAACACAUGCAAGUCGAACGGAAAGGCCCUGCUUUUGUGGGGUGCUCGUGUGGCGAACGGGUGAGUAACACGUGAGUCACCUGCCCUUGACUUUGGGAACACUUCAGGAAACUGGGGCAUAUACCGGAUAGGAGCUCCUGCUGCAUGGUGGGGGUUGAAAAGUUUCGGCGGUUGGGGAUGGCCUCGCGGCAUUUCAGCUUGUUGGUGGGGUAGGUGCUUACCAAGGCUUUGACGGGUAGGCGGGCCGAGAGGGUGGCCGGGCACAUUGGGGAUGGGGUAAGGGCCGGAAGUCUACGGGAGGCAGGAGUGGGGAAUAUGGGAAAAUGGGUGGAAGCCUGAGUGCGGCAAGCCGUGGGGGGGAUGAGGGGCUUCGGGUUGUAAAACGAGUUAGCCCAUGACGAAGCUGUGAGUGACGGUAGUGGGUAAAGAAGCAGCGGCUAACUACGUG